GUACGGUGGGCGGGCCGUGGUGCUCGGGAAGACCGGUGACAGUCCCUCACUGUUGGGGGACUCAGGCCGGAGCGGCCCUCGCCACUGUGAUCGGGGAGUUGCCGUCCCAGCAGUGCAUGGUCACUGUCCGCCGUCCGGCGGAUGGGAAGACCGGGACGGACACGCGCGUACCCGUAAGCCAGGAGACCGGCCACGGCACUUCACGAAGU
This 209-nucleotide non-coding RNA is filed under the name Streptomyces sp. The record is from RNAcentral. Lineage: Bacteria; Bacillati; Actinomycetota; Actinomycetes; Kitasatosporales; Streptomycetaceae.